CAGCCGCCGCGUAAUACGUAGGGUGCGAGCGUUAAUCGGAAUUACUGGGCGUAAAGCGUGCGUAGGCGGUGAGUUAAGUCUGCUGUGAAAUCCCCGGGCUCAACCUGGGAAUGGCAAUGGAUACUGGCAAGCUAGAGUAUGGCAGAGGGGGGUGGAAUUCCGCGUGUAGCAGUGAAAUGCGUAGAUAUGCGGAGGAACACCGAUGGCGAAGGCAGCCCCCUGGGCCAACACUGACGCUCAUGCACGAAAGCGGGGGGAGCAAACAGGAUUAGAUACCCCUGUAGUCCCUGUCUCUUAUACC
RNAcentral lists this ribosomal RNA (301 nucleotides) under uncultured bacterium. RNAcentral describes it as "partial 16S ribosomal RNA". It matches the Rfam family "Bacterial small subunit ribosomal RNA", at positions 509 to 808 of the family's 1533-position model. The record is from RNAcentral.